Molecule: long non-coding RNA, 4624 nt
Organism: Callithrix jacchus (white-tufted-ear marmoset)
Lineage: Eukaryota; Metazoa; Chordata; Mammalia; Primates; Cebidae
Source: Ensembl
AUGAACGAGGGUGAACCGGCGGCGAGGACCCGCAGGGGGGACCCCUCCAGUCCCUCGCCGUCCGCCUUCCCCUCGGGCCGCACGCCCCCCUUCCUAUUCCGCUUCACGUGGGGUGUGGGGCAGGACGGAGGGGAGGAAGAGCGAGAAAUGCCCACCUUCUCCGGCCGACUCCGCAGCCGCCCGGGCCCCCUCCUCCCGCCGCGGCGGCCGCUCCGCAGCGAGGCAGCGCCGAGCCACAGGCGCCCUCCCCUCGCCACCCCCAGGCCGCAGCCGCCAGCGAGCCCCGCGCUCAGCGCCGCUCCAACCUCCCCUCCCGGCCCCGCCCGGCCCUCCCCCCGCGCCCCGCAGACCCUUUCAAACCCCCUGGGCUCGCGGCGGCUGCUCGCUGAGGAAACGCUGGCCGCGGCUGGGGCCGGGCCGGCGCGGCUGCGAGCGGGGCGGCGGCGGCGGGGCGCCCGGUACGGUGAGCCCAGCAACCAGGCGCGGGCGGGCGCGCAGAGACGCCGGGUCCUCGCGGAGCACGGCCGGGGCGCGGCGGCGGCGGCAGCGGGAGCCCAGGGACCGCUCCAUCACUGGCAGCCAUGGAGCCCGAGCAUUUUCCUCCCUCGGGGCAGGCGCCUCCGCUCGGCACGCGUCCUCGGGGAGGAAGGGGCCGGCGCCCGAGGCUCCCCGGAGGGCGGCGGGACGUGCGCUGGGGCGGAGGGUGCGACCCUCUCGUGUCCUCUUCCUCCGCAGCCGGCUCGUCCUCGCCCCGCUGCUCCCACGGCCGGGCGGGAGGGGGCCGCGGGCGGCGGCGGCUCCUUUCUCGGCGGCGUUGGUGGCCAGACGGGCUGGUGCAGCGACUGCAGCCGACGCCGUUCAAAGGAACGAGAGCCACAGCAUCACGAGUUUCAGUUCCCAGGAGCCCGCUGCUGCCACGACAUGAGUCAGGCUUUCUUCCCCGGCGCGCGGCGGAAACCUCCGCCCCCUUGCCGCACCUGGGCUCGCCCCCGGCCCUCGCGUCUUCGGGGGAUGCCCUAGCGCCGGGAGCUGCGCCGUCCACGGAAGGCCGGUGGCUGCCGGUGAUAGGUGUUGUCUUUUGUGCAGUGCAGUUGCUGCCAUGCGGGCCCCUCGCCCUUCCACGGGCAGGGGCGAGGCGGCCGGGCAGAUGUUGCAGCUGUUUCCAGUUAACUCAGCUCCUCUGGGGUAGGCUGUAAUGUAACGAGGAGUGGUUGCAAUCCAUCCUUACCUAGAGGACAGAAGCAGGGCCAGCCCAGUACACCAUUGACCUCAACAGGUGUCUCCAAGCAGCGACGCCUUUCUCGUUCGUUCAUUGUCCUGGUUAUAUCCCCCAUUGGUUUGACUCAAGAGGCAAGGUGGCCCGGACAUGUGGGCAACAAAUGAUAAAUGAAGGAUGGCUUUUAGGGCUGGAAAAGAAAAAGCCGUCUGAAAUUCCAGUUCUAAAACACACACACAUUCCAUUCCAUGGGUCCGAGUGUAGUCCUACAGAAGCAAUGUGAGGUUUCACUGGGGGCAGUUUACUGGCAGCUACUUUCUUGGCCUUUGAUGUCAAGACCUAGUCCUAAGCAUUUCUCACCAAUCGAGAAUGUACGUCUCUCCCAGGAAUUUAAAAAUGAUAAAGCAACCCGAAAAAUUAUAGGGAGGAAUUUUCAUUUUACUAAAUUUGGGUUGUUGGGGGAAUCAACGCUUAUGAUUAGACCUCUGAUUCAGGAAAUCUCACCGAUUUACAUUCCUAUUUCAGGAUAUUGUUAAAGCAAAAACGACUGUCAUUUGCAGAGUUUUGAUACACCUCUAGUUGUCAGUUCAACUUUCUACCUUUUGUUUUUUCUGAACUCUUCCCAUUGCUUUAAGGAUAAAGCCUGCGGGGCGCGGUGGCUCACGCCUGUAAUCCCAGCACUUUGGGAGGCCGAGGCGGGUGGAUCACGAGGUCAAGAGAUCGAGACCAUCCCGGUCAACAUGGUGAAACCCCGUCUCUACUAAAAAUACAAAAAAUUAGCUGGGCAUGGUGGUGCGUGCCUGUAAUCCCAGCUACUCAGGAGGCUGAGGCAGGAGAAUUGCCUGAACCCAGGAGGCGGAGGUUGCGGUGAGCCGAGAUCGCGCCAUUGCACUCCAGCCUGGGUAACAAGAGCGAAACUCCGUCUCAAAGAAAAAAAAAAAAAAAAAAAAAAAAGGAUAAACCUUCAAAAAGUGAAUAUAUUUCACCGUUUGCAUGUUACUGAAUAGAAGUGCAGGCUCGACAUCCGGUCUAUCGGGUAUCAAAGCUAUGAUACAUUGUUGCUUUACCUGGGGUCUCCCUCACUGAAAAGAAAAACGAGGACUUUAUAUUUUUUACUUUAAAUCGCUAAUAACAAGCUCUGUUAGAAGUAAAUAGGCUCUCAAAAAUACUCAAAGUGGUACAAUAAUAAAAGUCAAAUGUUUGAGAAGAUCGGAGGAAGGAUUGGGGUGUUAUUCCUUUUAAAAGAAAGUUUUUUAAAAAAAAAUUCCAGGAUUAACAUAAGACAUAAGAAAAUAAGCUCUUUUGAAGUGUAUUAAUUUUUGCCUGCCAUAUCACUUUCAAACUCCUGCAUAGGCUGCAUCAAGUCCCACUAAGAUAUAAAGAGCAACAACUCUACAAUUAGGGAAAUCCACGUUUCAAACAUCUGGAUCUCUCUUUCCCCAUUCAAAAUUCUUAUGACCAGCAAUAUACAAACACAAAUUCAUUAAAACAAGGAGAAGGCACCUGAACAGCCAGAUUUUGUUCUGCUAUCAUCUUUUAAUUAAAAAGGUCUGAAUUUGUAUUAAACACUAAAUGCCUACUGCUGUGUGUAAUAAAGUCAUCACAUCCUUUUAACCAAGUGCUUAGAGCUAUCCUUUGCCUUUCAAAAGACCGAAUUUUAGCUGUUUUCAUUCUGAAGGUGUACUUCUGAAUUACCUUUCUUUUUUUAUUUUUCAUUGAAACAGUCUUGCUCUGUCACCCAGUCUGGAGUGCAAUGGCAAAACCUCAGCUCGCUGCAACCUUCUGCCUCAGCCUCUCGAGUAGCUGGGACUACAGGCGCGCACCACCAUGCCCAGCUAAUUUUUGUAUUUUUAGUAGAGACGGGGUUUCACCAUGUUGACCAGGAUGGUCUCGAUCUCUUGACCUCGUGAUCCACCCGCCUCGGCCUCCCAAAGUGCUGGGAUUAUAGGCGUGAGCCACCGUGCCUGGCCUCUGAAUUAAUUUUCUACUGACUCAAAGAUUAGCCUAUAUUGCAGUGGCACUUAAAUCCAGUUGCAACAUUACAAACCAGUCUUUUUUUUUUUUUUUUUUGAGACGGAGUUUUACUCUUGUUACCCAGGCUGGAGUGCAAUGACGCAAUCUGGGCUCACCGCAACCUCCGCCUCCUGGAUUCAGGCAAUUCUCAGCCUCCGGAGUAGCUGGGAUUACAGGCACCCGCCACCAUGUCCAGCUAAUUUUUUGUAUUUUUAGUAGAGACGGGGUUUCACCAUGUUGACCAGGAUGGUCUCGAUCUCUUGACCUCGUGAUCCACCCGCCUCGGCCUCCCAAAGUGCUGGGAUUACAGGCUUGAGCCACCGCACCCGGCCACAAACCAGCCUUAUAUAUAUUUCACCAUGUUUAGUAUUUACUGUACUGUAAAAAUUACAAAAUUUUUUUUUUUGUAAUUUUUUUUUGUAAUUUCCCAAAGUAAUCCCAGCCCUUUGGGAGGCCGAGGUUGGUGAAUCACCUGAGGUCAGGAGUUUGAGACCAGCCUGGCCAACAUGGUGAAAUGCCCUCUCCACCAAAAAUACAAAAAUUAUCUGGUGCUGUGGUAUGCACCUGUAAACCCAGCUAUUUGGGAGACUGAGGCAGGUAAAUUGCUUACCCCAGAAAGUAGAGGUUGCAAUCAGCUCAGAUCCCGCCAUUGUACUCCAGCCUGGGUGACAGAGUGAGACUCCAUCUCAAAGAAAAAAAGAAAAUUUGCUGAACGUUAUAACACAAUUUAUCUAUUUGUGAGUACUGCAAAACGGGUCAAUUAAAAUCAAGUAAUUCUCUAAAAGCAAUGCCCCUGAGGAGCCGGAAGGGAAUACCUACACUCCAAAUGGCUGAGCUACAACAAUAGAUACGGUUAAAGAGAAAUGUAUACAGAAAAUAUGCCACUGUUCCACUCCAGUAAUUAUUCUGGCUAACCAGUGCUCCCGUCAUGUAAUGUUACUAAUAUUUGCUUAGAGCUUUUAGAUGUCAUCCGGGGGGAAUAAAAGUCAAAUGUUUAAAUAUGCCUUACAAACUCAAAAAAUCACAGAUUUUUACAUAUGAAGACUCUAAUGCAAGGGGAUAUUGCAGUAUGUUUACUAAUCAGUUUGCUCUCUGAAAAAGUUUUAAUGAGACCAGGAGUGUGCCAUCACUAUUGGUAUCACAAAAUGUUUAUUUCAAAACUUUAAUGCCAAUUUUAGUGAGUCAGUUUAGCUUAUAACUGAUUAAUUUCAGCAGCAUUUGUUAAGUUUUUCAAUAGUAUAUUUCAGUUGAGCGAAAUCAGUUUUAUAUCCUCAAAGGAGAUAAUGCUUAUGCCACAGGAAAGUAUAGUUAUUUGAAUGUAUGGUUCAGAUUUGCUCAUUUCAUUCCCCCUUUGAAGGAGAAGGCGUUCUCAUUCUCAUUUGAGAAAUGAGUAAU